RNAcentral lists this ribosomal RNA (253 nucleotides) under uncultured bacterium. RNAcentral describes it as "partial 16S ribosomal RNA". It matches the Rfam family "Archaeal small subunit ribosomal RNA", at positions 474 to 727 of the family's 1478-position model. The record is from RNAcentral.
UACCAGCACCCCGAGUGGUCUGGACGUUUAUUGGGCCUAAAGCAUCCGUAGCCGGUUCUGCAAGUCUUCCGUUAAAUCCACCUGCUUAACAGAUGGGCCGCGGAAGAUACUAUAGAGCUAGGAGGCGGGAGAGGCAAGCGGUACUCGAUGGGUAGGGGUAAAAUCCGUUGAUCCAUUGAAGACCACCAGUGGCGAAGGCGGCUUGCCAGAACGCGCUCGACGGUGAGGGAUGAAAGCUGGGGGAGCAAACCGG